CAAAUACUUGCAACUAUUAUGUUAAUCACUGAAAUCUUAGUGUACUAAUUGCUCGCUAUAAGCUAGGUUAUUGCGCCCCUAAACCAACGUACUGACAACGCUACCUCCCCGGAACUCAAACUUUAACCGGGCAUGACUUGGUACAUCCAGUGACCCAGCAAAAAGUAGCCUCGGUACAGCCAGAAGUAGCAACAAAUCACAAAAGGGGAUCCUUGUCUGACUGGUGGCUGGACCACAUGGUAGGUCACCAUCAAAUAAGGGAGUGGAUCCAGCACAGCUGGAUAGAGGGGGCCCCGUUGAGGGCGAAGCCUGAAUAUGACACUUGUUGGAAAAGGAAGGACCAAAGGUGCCAUCGUCGAGGGCCCAGUUAGAUGAAGAGAUUGAAGCCUGGGCUGCACACAAUCCUGUUAGUAACAAAAAAAGAAGGAAAAAAUGCUGUCCCAUUUGUCCAUAUGCCCAGCGCCAGAACCCAUUUAUACAUCUGGGUAGUGAGAAAAUCUAGGAAGAAGUCGCCACCCACUGAUGAUCUCAUCCAAGUUUACCAAAGACUCCAAAGCAGUGUAGGAGAGGAAUGGUGGCCUGUUCGAACAGGCAUGGACUGAAUCGCCAGCUCUCAUCUCCCUAGUCACUCCGAUGGCCACGUGUCGCUCCUCGAUCAACAGCGAUUUCAAUGAAUGAUGCGUUGAUGUGGGCAAAAAGUGAAUCCUUUCUCGCCUCUGAACUCAGGUGUUCGUCGUAUCAAUCCAUUUUGAUUGUCGAGCAACUUGUGGGCACACCUCAACUUGUUAGUGGGAAGUAAUUUGCAAUAGAGUGACUUACUUUUAUUUCUAUAUAUUUCAUUGUAUUUUUUCACUUCACAUCAUUGUUAUUUUGAAAAAUCCUGCCAAAAUUCUGUUGACUGUUUGUUGUCGACAAGAGUCUAUGUUUCAUGAAUAACAAGGCUGUGUUCUGUACAUUGUA
Lineus longissimus is the source of this 960-nucleotide long non-coding RNA. RefSeq lists it as uncharacterized. Lineage: Eukaryota; Metazoa; Nemertea; Pilidiophora; Heteronemertea; Lineidae. The record is from RefSeq and is a predicted model, not a curated record. The transcript has 4 exons.